UUUUUAUUUAAAUUUAAAAUAAUUCAAAAUAUAUCAUUUCUUUUAUUAGGAAUAUAAAAAUUUUAAAACUUUCAACAACGGAUCUCUUGGUUCUCGCAUCGAUGAAGAACGUAGCGAAUUGCGAUAAGUAAUGUGAAUUGCAGAUUUUCGUGAAUCAUUGAAUUUUUGAACGCACAUUGCGCCCUUUGGUAUUCCAAAGGGCAUGCCUGUUUGAGCGUCAUUUCCUUCUCAAAAGAAAACUUUUUUUUUUCUUUUGGUUGUGAGUGAUACUCUUUCCUUUUACAGGGAAGGGGUUAACUUGAAAUUGUUGCCUAGCAAAGAAGAAUUUUGAUUGAAAUUUCUUGUUUAUUACUAUUAGGUUUAUCCCAACUAGUGAUUAUUGAGAGUUUUUAUUACAGAGUCUUUUCACUUGCUAUAAUACUAUUCUAUAAGUUGACCUCAAAUCA
This 446-nucleotide unclassified non-coding RNA is filed under the name Saccharomycodes ludwigii. RNAcentral's name for it is "sequence contains ITS1, 5.8S rRNA gene, ITS2". The stretch from base 67 to 220 matches the Rfam family "5.8S ribosomal RNA". The record is from RNAcentral. Lineage: Eukaryota; Fungi; Ascomycota; Saccharomycetes; Saccharomycodales; Saccharomycodaceae.